GACGAACGCUGGCGGCGUGCUUAACACAUGCAAGUCGAGCGGUAAGGCCCUUCGGGGUACACGAGCGGCGAACGGGUGAGUAACACGUGGGUAACCUGCCCUGUACUCUGGGAUAAGCCUGGGAAACUAGGUCUAAUACCGGAUAUGACUCUAUGCCGCAUGGUGUGGGGUGGAAAGUUCCGGCGGUACAGGAUGGACCCGCGGCCUAUCAGCUUGUUGGUGGGGUGAUGGCCUACCAAGGCGACGACGGGUAGCCGGCCUGAGAGGGCGACCGGCCACACUGGGACUGAGACACGGCCCAGACUCCUACGGGAGGCAGCAGUGGGGAAUAUUGCGCAAUGGGCGAAAGCCUGACGCAGCGACGCCGCGUGAGGGAUGACGGCCUUCGGGUUGUAAACCUCUUUCGCCAGGGACGAAGCGAGAGUGACGGUACCUGGAGAAGAAGCACCGGCUAACUACGUGCCAGCCGCCGCCGUAACAC
Molecule: ribosomal RNA, 481 nt
Filed under: uncultured bacterium
Lineage: Bacteria
Description: bacterial SSU rRNA
Rfam family: Bacterial small subunit ribosomal RNA
Source: RNAcentral